RNAcentral lists this transfer RNA (73 nucleotides) under Actinomycetota bacterium. RNAcentral's name for it is "tRNA-Val". It matches the Rfam family "tRNA". Rfam says of the family: Transfer RNA (tRNA) molecules are approximately 80 nucleotides in length. Their secondary structure includes four short double-helical elements and three loops (D, anti-codon, and T loops). Further hydrogen bonds mediate the characteristic L-shaped molecular structure. tRNAs have two regions of fundamental functional importance: the anti-codon, which is responsible for specific mRNA codon recognition, and the 3' end, to which the tRNAs corresponding amino acid is attached (by aminoacyl-tRNA synthetases). tRNAs cope with the degeneracy of the genetic code in two manners: having more than one tRNA (with a specific anti-codon) for a particular amino acid; and 'wobble' base-pairing, i.e. permitting non-standard base-pairing at the 3rd anti-codon position. The record is from RNAcentral. Lineage: Bacteria; Bacillati; Actinomycetota.
GGGCGCUUAGCUCAGUUGGCAGAGCGCUGGCUUUACAAGCCAGAUGUCGGGGGUUCGAGCCCCUCAGCGCCCA